UACGUAGGGGGCAAGCGUUAUCCGGAAUUAUUGGGCGUAAAGAGUGCGUAGGUGGUUACCUAAGCGCAAGGUUUAAACUUGAGGCUCAACCUCAUUCUGCCUUGCGAACUGGGCUACUUGAGUGCAGGAGGGGAAAGCGGAAUUCCUAGUGUAGCGGUGAAAUGCGUAGAUAUUAGGAAGAACACCGGUGGCGAAGGCGGCUUUCUGGACUGUAACUGACACUGAGGCACGAAAGCGUGGGGAGCAAACAGGAUUAGAAACCCCAGUAGUCC
RNAcentral lists this ribosomal RNA (272 nucleotides) under uncultured Mogibacterium sp. RNAcentral describes it as "partial 16S ribosomal RNA". It matches the Rfam family "Bacterial small subunit ribosomal RNA", at positions 524 to 796 of the family's 1533-position model. Lineage: Bacteria; Bacillati; Bacillota; Clostridia; Peptostreptococcales; Anaerovoracaceae. The record is from RNAcentral.